Molecule: regulatory RNA element, 122 nt
Organism: Kandleria vitulina DSM 20405
Lineage: Bacteria; Bacillati; Bacillota; Erysipelotrichia; Erysipelotrichales; Coprobacillaceae
Rfam family: Ribosomal protein L10 leader
About the family: This family is a putative r-protein leader autoregulatory structure found in B. subtilis and other low-GC Gram-positive bacteria. It is located in the 5' untranslated regions of mRNAs encoding ribosomal proteins L10 and L12 (rplJ-rplL).
Source: Rfam
UUAGGUGCAAUCAAUAUACCGUAGACAGUAACUGGCCAAUAACCUUAAUUUGUUACCGAGGGAUAUUGUCAAAUGACAUUGACAAGCUCUCCUCGUGUUAGGAGAGCUUUUAUACAGUAUAU